AAAUGACUCUCGGCAACGGAUAUCCCGGCUCUCGCAUCGAUGAAGAACGUAGCGAAAUGCGAUACUUGGUGUGAAUUGCAGAAUCCCGUGAACCAUCGAGUCUUUGAACGCAAGUUGCGCCCGAAGCCAUUAGGUUGAGGGCACGUCUGCCUGGGUGUCAUGC
RNAcentral lists this ribosomal RNA (163 nucleotides) under Ferula olivacea. Its description in RNAcentral is "5.8S ribosomal RNA". It matches the Rfam family "5.8S ribosomal RNA". From Rfam's summary of the family: 5.8S ribosomal RNA (5.8S rRNA) is a component of the large subunit of the eukaryotic ribosome. It is transcribed by RNA polymerase I as part of the 45S precursor that also contains 18S and 28S rRNA. The record is from RNAcentral. Lineage: Eukaryota; Viridiplantae; Streptophyta; Magnoliopsida; Apiales; Apiaceae.